AGUGAACGCUGGCGGUAGGCCUAACACAUGCAAGUCGAACGGCAGCACAGUAAGAGCUUGCUCUUACGGGUGGCGAGUGGCGGACGGGUGAGGAAUACAUCGGAAUCUACUUUUUCGUGGGGAUAACGUAGGGAAACUUACGCUAAUACCGCAUACGACCUACGGGUGAAAGCAGGGGAUCUUCGGACCUUGCGCGAUUGAAUGAGCCGAUGUCGGAUUAGCUAGUUGGCGGGGUAAAGGCCCACCAAGGCGACGAUCCGUAGCUGGUCUGAGAGGAUGAUCAGCCACACUGGAACUGAGACACGGUCCAGACGCCUACGGGAGGCAGCAGUGGGGAAUAUUGGACAAUGGGCGCAAGCCUGAUCCAGCCAUACCGCGUGGGUGAAGAAGGCCUUCGGGUUGUAAAGCCCUUUUGUUGGGAAAGAAAAGCAGCAGGUUAAUACCCCGCUGUUCUGACGGUACCCAAAGAAUAAGCACCGGCUAACUUCGUG
Molecule: ribosomal RNA, 491 nt
Filed under: uncultured bacterium
Lineage: Bacteria
Description: partial 16S ribosomal RNA
Rfam family: Bacterial small subunit ribosomal RNA
Source: RNAcentral